CAAAGCAAAGAGACACAAGGUGUGAAGGAAAAAAAAAAAAACCUUCUAUCCUGCUUUCAAGUAGUCUCACAGUUCCACAUGUGUCUGCAGCUACAGACACACAAGCGGCAACUAAAUGUUUGCAUCGCUGAAAAGCUGUUUUUCUACCUCUUUGGUGCCACUUCAAUUCAAAUAAAUGACACAGACACACACACACACAGCGGAGACUCCUCCCUGCCCACCAUCCUCCAAGCAGACUUCUCUCCAUGCAGUGAAGAUGACGGGGGGGGGGGGGGGGGGGGGGGGCGAGGGGAGGGCAAUGUCUGUUUAUUGUGUACAUAUUAGGAAAUGUUACUGUGUCUUUUAAUAAUUUUAGAACCAAUCCAGACUGAGUCAGAAGUUUCCUUAAAACAACCCAAAACACUUGUGACACUGGCACUGAUUCCAGCUCCACCGUACCCCGUCAGUGGUGAGGGACCGCCGUCCUGCUGCGAUGGAGGUGGAGUGCCGCAGGGUGGGGGUGUGGCGUGGGGGGGGGGGGGGGGGGGGGGGGGGUUUGCCGGUGGUCGAAAACGGGAAGGAAAUGCACAACUUGAAUAACAGAGCCGUUUUUUUUUUUUUUUUUUUUUUUUAAUGAACUCUUUGUGCCUUGGCUUUGGUUUAGUCCUCUUGUAUUAUUAUUAUUAUUGUUUUUUUUCUAUUUUAACUGAUGAAAUCCUGUUGGACGGCACGGAAGACACCUGUUGGACAAUCAGCAGCAGCAGCAUCCACAGGAAGUGAACGGAAAACGGCUUCUGCGUAGAGAACCAGCCUGGUUCCACGUUCUGCAGCGUCCCCAGAGCAUGAGAAGAUCUGCGACGCUGUUGUUUUUUUUUUUUUCUUGCUGCAUGUACAAGUUUUUAUUUGCUAUAAUUAGUUUUAUAGAUUUGACCUUUCGAUGUAAACGUGUGGAUGAUGUGUUGUUCUGGCAGCAUCCUGAGUAUUCACCGUCACUUUGCUGUAGACAGGAGUUUGUAUUGUUUCUGCGCUUCUCAUUAUGUGAAUGGAAUUUAAUAGGAAAUACUACAUUUCACUUGUUUUAUUCCAACAAAAAGCAGAUUAAGACUUGCAAGUUACGUCUUCCACCACAUACACUGGGUUGAGUAAAGUGCUUUUUUUUUUAAUGACUUUUCAAAUGUUUGUGUUUUUCCAGUAAAGAGAAUGUAUCACAGGAAGUUUCAGACUAAAUCUCCAGCAAACCUUCAUGUUGUUUCUUUUGCGACUGUCUGCUGUCUGCUUAGUGCUGCUAUGGACCUAAAGGAAACUUUUUUUUUUUUUUUUAAUUUACAACCUACAAAAACUCAGUAUUGAAUGUGAUGGGUUUUGUUUUGUUUUUUUUUGUUUUUUUAAAUCUGGACACUUCUACAGUUUUAAGCAUUACUAACAAAAAAAAAAAAAUGCACUGGAAACAGAUGCCUGAGUUACUUUUUGAAAAAGGGAGAGCAGUUCUAUUAAAGUAAUGUAUGAAUGUUUACAUUGAUACCCAAGUAUUUGAAAACUUAACUUUUAUACUGACUUU
Molecule: long non-coding RNA, 1537 nt
Organism: Toxotes jaculatrix (banded archerfish)
Lineage: Eukaryota; Metazoa; Chordata; Actinopteri; Toxotidae
Exons: 2
Source: RefSeq, a predicted model, not a curated record